UACGUAGGGUGCAAGCGUUAAUCGGAAUUACUGGGCGUAAAGCGCCCGCAGGCGGCUUGGCAAGUUCGAGGUGAAAUCUCCCGGCUCAACUGGGAAGGUGCCUCGGAAACUGCCAGGCUUGAGGCAGGGAGAGGGAUGUGGAAUUCCCGGUGUAGCGGUGAAAUGCGUAGAUAUCGGGAGGAAUACCUAUGGCGAAAGCAGGUCUCUGGGCCAUCACUGACGCUGAGCUGCGAAAGCUAGGGGAGCAAACAGG
This 253-nucleotide ribosomal RNA is filed under the name uncultured bacterium. Its description in RNAcentral is "partial 16S ribosomal RNA". It matches the Rfam family "Bacterial small subunit ribosomal RNA", at positions 524 to 776 of the family's 1533-position model. The record is from RNAcentral.